CCUGUAGCCGUCCGCGCUUAAUUGCGCGUACUGUGUUACGGAACUUUUACUUUGAGAAAAAUAGAGUGUUUCAAGCAGGCUUGUCGCCCUGAAUACUUCAGCAUGGAAUAAUAGGAUAGGACCUUGGUUCUAUUUUGUUGGUUUCUAGGACCAAGGUAAUGAUUAAUAGGGACAGUUGGGGGCAUUCGUAUUUAACUGUCAGAGGUGAAAUUCUUAGAUUUGUUAAAGACGAACUACUGCGAAAGCAUUUGCCAAGGAUGUUUUCAUUAAUCAAGAACGACAGUAGGGGGUUUGAAGACGAUUAGAUACCGUCGUAAUCUCUACCAUAAACUAUGCCGACUAGAGAUAG
Molecule: ribosomal RNA, 349 nt
Filed under: Eimeria ovinoidalis
Lineage: Eukaryota; Apicomplexa; Conoidasida; Eucoccidiorida; Eimeriidae
Description: SSU rRNA
Rfam family: Eukaryotic small subunit ribosomal RNA
Source: RNAcentral